GAUGAACGUUGGCGGCGUGCCUAAUACAUGCAAGUCGAGCGAACGGACGAGAAGCUUGCUUUUCUGAUGUUAGCGGCGGACGGGUGAGUAACACGUGGAUAACCUACCUAUAAGACUGGGAUAGCUUCGGGAAACCGGAGCUAAUACCGGAUAAUAUUUUGAACCGCAUGGUUCAAAAGUGAAAGACGGUCUUGCUGUCACUUAUAGAUGGAUCCGCGCUGCAUUAGCUAGUUGGUAAGGUAACGGCUUACCAAGGCAACGAUGCAUAGCCGACCUGAGAGGGUGAUCGGCCACACUGGAACUGAGACACGGUCCAGACUCCUACGGGAGGCAGCAGUAGGGAAUCUUCCGCAAUGGGCGAAAGCCUGACGGAGCAACGCCGCGUGAGUGAUGAAGGUCUUCGGAUCGUAAAACUCUGUUAUUAGGGAAGAACAUAUGUGUAAGUAACUGUGCACAUCUUGACGGUACCUAAUCAGAAAGCCACGGCUAACUACGUG
This 497-nucleotide ribosomal RNA is filed under the name uncultured bacterium. Its description in RNAcentral is "partial 16S ribosomal RNA". It matches the Rfam family "Bacterial small subunit ribosomal RNA", at positions 28 to 507 of the family's 1533-position model. The record is from RNAcentral.